Heterocephalus glaber (naked mole-rat) is the source of this 595-nucleotide long non-coding RNA. The record is from Ensembl. NCBI's taxonomy places the organism in Eukaryota, Metazoa, Chordata, Mammalia, Rodentia, Bathyergidae.
UUCUCUUGGACUGCAUGUCAUGCUGCUUCCUUCUUGUUUGUCUAAAUUAUAAAGCCUUGACCCAAAAUGCAAAUUCAGAGGUUUUGUUUAUUAAAACCAUCAGACACUAAUGCAGUCUACUAAUAGUAACUGAAGUAAAAGCAUAUUGAUGGUAGGGAUUUUCACACAGCGACAGGUGGCGAGGUCUGCUCAGAGAACAACCUGAAGUUCCCAGAGUGAAAUCAGAAUGGUCGGUUCGGCUGUGAUUGGCGAAUCAAGCCUGGUAAACAACUGUGGAACUUCAAAAACAAUGGCUGCCCAGUUCAUGCUCCAAACUGAUUGAAUAUGAAUAGUUGUGUGAUCUUAAUGGGUAGCUUCGGUGAGAAUCACUGCAAUAAAGAUUAACUGUUUAUCAUUCAUUAUUAGCUUGUUAUUAACAUUAAUACUGUAAAACAUAUUAAACCUUUUCUCUGAGGAAAGUCUAGGGAGAACAUAAAUGGGACCAUGGAUUUUAUCAGACCUUUCUUUAUACUUGCUAUUAUGAUGUUUGGGGACAUCGGAUUUGAAUUGUAGUGUGAAAAAAUCUAUGAAAUAAAGUUAUAUUGCAAUUACUGUG